This 527-nucleotide ribosomal RNA is filed under the name Scoloplos acmeceps. RNAcentral's name for it is "partial 16S ribosomal RNA". It matches the Rfam family "Bacterial large subunit ribosomal RNA", at positions 1812 to 2610 of the family's 2925-position model. The record is from RNAcentral. Lineage: Eukaryota; Metazoa; Annelida; Polychaeta; Orbiniidae.
AACAUUGCCUUUCGAAUAUAUUAAAGGUACAUCCUGCCCAGUGACAAACGUUAAACGGCCGCGGUACCCUGACCGUGCUAAGGUAGCAUAAUCAUUUGCCUCUUAAUUGGUGGCUAGUAUGAAAGGACAAACGAGAGCAUAGCUGUCUCUUACUUACACCCUUAAAAUUAACCUCCGGGUGAAAAGGCCCGAAUUAUUUUAUAAGACAAGAAGACCCUGUCAAGCUUUACUAAAAAUAUCUACAACCAGAAAUUUAAACCAUCUGCUUUCCAUUUAAUAAUAGUUUAGUUGGGGCGACUAAGGACCAAACCUAACGUCCUUCCAAAAAAAAGGAUUAUAAUCCUACAAACCUGAUCCCUUAAAGGAUAAAGAGACAAGCUACUGCAGGGAUAACAGGCUAAUUUUCCCUGAGAGUCCAAAUCGAAGGGAAAGUUUGGCACCUCGAUGUUGGCUUAAGAUAACCAUAAAGUGCAGCAGCUUUAUAUGGUAGGUAUUGUUCACCCUUUAAAAUCUUACGUGAUCUGAGU